UUCACUGUCUUCGGUUCAACUUUUGAUACGAAUGAGUUAAACAUACAAAACUCAACCUUUGAAAAUAAGGAUGUCUGUUUUGCCUUCAGUUGAGAUCGGGUCAGAACCUUUUCAGAUACAUCACCAACUACUUGAGAGAUAGGAUGAUCUCUGGUCCAUUUGGUAAGAGGAGGGUAAUUCGGAUCAAAGGUUGGGUCUAGUUCAGCGUUGAUCAUUUCUUCUGGCUCAGAUUGGCUAUCGUAAUCAAGCGUCAUAUCAUCAUGCUCCCCCUCAAUUGAUGAGUCUUGAGAAACAUGAGGUUCAGGGGUUUCUUGUGGUGCUGGACUUUCAGGCGUUGAAGCACCUUCGUUUGGAGGGGUAUCUUCGGUUGGAGAGGCACCUUCGGUUGGUGAAGGACCUUCGGUUGAAGUUGUAGAGCUUGGCUCCCCCUGGACUUGUGAGCUUGGCUCCCCCUCGACAUGAGAACUUGGCUCCCCCUCGACUGAAGCAUUGUUGGAUGGAGAUUCAUCAGUGGGCGAUUC
Molecule: long non-coding RNA, 521 nt
Filed under: Lactuca sativa (garden lettuce)
Lineage: Eukaryota; Viridiplantae; Streptophyta; Magnoliopsida; Asterales; Asteraceae
Description: long non-coding RNA (LSAT_LNC006250)
Source: RNAcentral